UUAGUGAAGAACUUUGCAUUGAUUGAAUUGCGUAUUUAUAGAAACAAUUGAAAUCUCAACAUAAUUUCUUUUCUUCUGUCUUCAAUCUCAAGAAGAGCACAACAUAAAUUUGAAAGGUGGGCAUCAGCUCUAUCCAAAACACUGCCACACCAAUUAAUGAACCCUAGAUAUGAAAAAUCAAAAGGAAAAAAGAAAAUUUAUUCUCUUAACUGAACUAUAUAUGUUACAAAUCCUAUAAAAGGAUUGCUGAUCUACCCACUAAUUAACACUGAGAGGUGAGCCAGACACAAGAAUUAGACGCUACUGAUUCAGCCAUCAAGAUUUAUUCAAGUGUACAUGGCUUGGAACGAACUUGACCCGACUACAUUUUUUUAACUUGGAAAUAGCUGCUUGUGACUUACUGAGCAUAAGAUCCACAUAAACUGCGGUCAAAGUGGCCUCAGGACUGUCAGGUAUAAGAGACAAUGCUUGGGUCACAAAAUGGUGUGCCCGCUCAAGCUCACCUUGUGCUGCAUGCAUGGUUGCAAAAUUGGCAUAAAGGAUACCUUGCGCCUCUUCUGGUUUGAGGAACACAAAACCUUGUGAUUCCUCAGGGGAAGAAAUCUUGGCACUGGUUGAUCCUCCAUUGGUAUCUUCACAAUCGUAAGUUUUCUCCACUCGCCAUUCCUCACAGUCCUCCUGGCUGAAGGGCAACUCAACAUUAAUUCCUCCAGACAAAUAAAUUGACAAGUGCUCAGCAGCUUCCUUAGGCUUGUUUAGCAAGCAGAGGGCCUCAGCUGCAUAUACAUGACCAAGAAAAACAUAAAUUCUUGAGCAUUCUGGAAUUUCCAAGAGGGACUUUGCAAUGGACAAGGCCUUCUCAGGAUUUUCUAGUUCCAACUCCACAUAAGCCAAGUUAGCAAGAAGAGCUUGCUUAAUCAUCUGAUUCUCUCUCCUACGAAUAUCUUCAAAGAAAGAGACGGAAUUCUGCAUGAUCUCCUGACCUGUCACUCCCUUCUGCUCUUUUGUAUCCCCAUUUGCAUUAAGCUGACCUAAGCCCAUACAUAAAGAUGAUGCUUUGGCAUCUAAGCCAGUUAAACUCUUGUGGUUUGAAUUCUUGAGAGAUUCUGCUUCACUGGAUUCAUUUUCUUCCAAGGAGAUACUAGAAGGCAAACUGGACUUCAAAUGUUUGAUAUCAGAAGAGUCCAACAAAUGCAGAGCAUUGAGGAGACAUUGCCGGGCAAGGGUCACUGAGAGCUUGGGUUGGCCAUCACUGCCCAAAAACAAGUCCUCCCUUUCAACAGAAUCCAAAUAUCCAUUUCUUGAACUCCCAUUUUCUAUUGCAAGAUGCCUCCAUUUUCCCUUGCCAAUAACAUGAACUAUAAUUUCUGAUUUGUGUGAUGGAGUUCGACCAGCUUUUAUGAGUCCCUUUUCUAAAGCCAUCAGACAACACUCAGCAAGCCGGAGCCACAAGAUAGGAAGGUUGUAAAAAAUUAAACUUGCUUUCUGGAAACAGCGAGCAGCCAGCAAGGGUUUCCCACAAGCCAAGUGUUGUAUACCACAAUUGUACAUAAUAAGGAGAGAUUUAUCUUGUGAAAAAGUUAACAGUUUCAUAGGCUUGUCCUUCCGAAGAGAUGAACUACAAGUUAGUGCCUUGGAAAAGAGGAGAGAUGAUGCAUGGUAUUUCCCAAGCUGAUAAUAAAUGCAACCAAGGUUGUUGAACAUGCUUGAAAUCCCCAUCUCUGUCCGAUUACUUGAUGCCAUCAACAACUUGAUGGCUUUACGAUGAUUCCCACGAGCAUAUUCAAGCUGAGACUUCAAGAGGAGAGCCGUGGAUGAGUCUCUCCCACGUGCAAUGUUCAUAGCAAGCUUGACUUCGCGCUUCGCUUGUUUUAAAUUCCUUGUGAGAAGUAGAAACUGGACCUUGUAAAGCUGCAACUUAAGCUUCAGAUCAAUGGUAGACAUAGACCUAUCAACUUGGGUCCUGGAAAGAUCAUUUGAAGAUGGGAGACCAGAUGGCCUUGUCAGGUUCUGUCCACUUAUGUCUAAUGAAAACAUGGUUUCAUACUCAAGUGACUCCUCUGAUAGUGAUAAAGUUUUCGACAAAGAAUUUUCCAAGGAAUUCCCACUAGGUGCUAAAUCCAAAUUAGAAGCUUCCAAGGCUGAUGAACUGGUUGGAAUAGAGGAUAAUUUUGUAACUAGAUUUGCAGAUUGUUGCUGUGUUGUGCUUGCAUUAUCACCUUGACUCCCACAGCCAAAACCAAAACCUUUUUCUAGAUAAAUCAGUACAUCAGCAGAUUUUGAUGCAUCCUGGCAGGCAAGUGCAACAUCCAGCAACAGAAGGCAAACAUGGAGAGCAGUUGUCUCAUCAAUAGGCUCAAUAUUGUGAUACAAAGGUUCUAGAACUGACAAUGCCUUAGUAUAUUCGUGAAGAUGAAACCAGAUAAUUGCAAUAUUUAAUGUUGCAACUGCCGGGUCAAAUUCAUCCAUGUAAAUCAGAGUCGCACUAUUUGUAACAGAAAAUUGAUGUGCUGUUGUACCACUUCCUUUAGACCCUGAAAUAACUUUAUUUCCAGCAUCGCUCCCAGCAUCAACCUGUUCUCCAGAAGCCCAAGCAAGCUGUUCGCUUUUCUUCUUCAAGUUAUUAAGUACUUCAAGCAACUUCCUUGUAUCUGAACAACCAUCAUGAAAGUAUUCCGCAAUAGCAAUAUUAUGAAUCACCUGAUAAACAUUACCCAUGGAGCGAAGAUGUAGAAAAAUAGACCGAGAAAAAAAUACUGAUAAUAUAGAUCAAAAUAAACCACUCAAGUCAAUAAUUUAGCAAAAUUUUACAUCGAUGCCAAUGAAAGGCUUGCAACUAUUCCCUAUAUAUGGACUAUAAUAAUCAUAAAUAGGUUAUAAUUAGAAUGAUGCAGUCAUAAUCAGAUUGAUUAUGCAGGAAUUUAAGAUAAUGCUAGUGCUGCACCCUAUAUGAACACAGAAAGAUUUAAUUAAUAGUAGAGUUAAUCAAUAAUAAGAAUCAAAUUUAGCAACACAGUUUACUCGAAUACCUUAAAGUAGCUGAAACAGUUCACAGCAGUGUAAUCAUACUUUAUAAGCAGUGGUUGGAGGCAUGGCGAAGCACAAUUCAUUCAAUCAAGUAAAACACAAUCUGCCAGUCUUGGUUCAUGCCAUAUUCUAUUGUAAAAUACACUUUUGUAAGCAAAUUCACUUCGAAAGAAUUUCAGGCAGCCAAUAUCUAGAAACAAAUGGAACCUAACUUCAGAAUUUGGUAGUUGCAUAUCAAAUAUCAAUGCCUGCAAUUCUCUCUCAUGACUAAACAUAACUUCUACUACUCCAGAAUGCCCAAGUAAUCAAUGGGGUUCCCAAAUUAAAAUAGACAAUACAAUCGGAAUGUUAGCAGAAGGGAAAGUAUCACUAACAAGCAGCAAUCCCAGCCUGAACCCAGAACUAGUUUUCAGUUGUCUUUUGACGUAUAAAAAGGGACAAUUGGUUCAACCACUCCAUUCAAAAGAGUCUCAUCGCUCUGGUAGAACCGUCACCUUAAUACAACCACUAAAAUUGAUGCAUAUAAGGUUCCAUCUGCAAAUAAUGCAUCUUCCUCAGUCUUCUCUAUCUAUCCUACAUAUAGAAGUUUGUGUGCAUUAACUCAGAUAAGUGAAUAAAUUUUUCCCAGAGAGUUUACUCAACCUAAGCAAGCUAUUAAAUAACAUUGGCUCAGUAUCAGUAAACUCCAAACUAACAGUUCAUUAUCAAAUCUCAAAUAAAGAAACUAACUCUAACCAGAUAAAAAUUAACUAAGAGUGCAAACACAACACGCGCUUAAACUGCCAUUUCCACUUAAAAGAAGAAAUGAAACAUUUCCCCUGCAUCCAUUACUCGACUAACUCCAACAAUAAAAAAUUAGAAAUGCAACCAUCUCAACAUGAUUGGAUAUAUAAGUAAUUACUUUGGGAUCGUUUUCUUUCUUUAACUUGAGCUGAUGCAAAACGGCGAGGCACUCCACGAAACGGCGAGACUGGAAAUGCAAGGCCGCAUCCUUGGCAAGAGCAGCAGUGACAGACAGAACGGCGUCGUCUUCAGAAGUGUUGGACGAUGACGCAGCAGCUGCAGCAACAGUUUCUCGAUUUGCGGUGGGCGUGGAUUGGGAAGAAGUUGAAUCUCGCGAGUCCAUGGCCAGAUCCAAGAAAUCAGAGAGUGAGAAUUUAUGAACACCAAUAUCUAGCAUCCGAAAUGUAGAUGUAUCAAAAAAUGAAAGGAAAGCCCUAGGGUAAUGAAAAUCGGAGAGGAGAGAAAUUUUGAAAUUGAUUAAGUAAAAAGGAAGAGGGAUAGCGCUUAGGGUUUUCCAAAAUUGCAGAGAAGGACAAAUUAUGAAUUACAGAAAGGAAAUUAGGGGCGAGAAAUGAAAUGGAUACAGAAAAGGGGGGAGCCGGUAAUUAACAAAACUGGUUUUGAGUCCAAAAUCAGCAUUACUUU
RNAcentral lists this unclassified non-coding RNA (4455 nucleotides) under Hevea brasiliensis (rubber tree). The record is from RNAcentral. Lineage: Eukaryota; Viridiplantae; Streptophyta; Magnoliopsida; Malpighiales; Euphorbiaceae.